UACAGAGGGUGCGAGCGUUAAUCGGAAUUAUUGGGCGUAAAGGGCGCGUAGGUGGAUAAAUAAGUUGUAUGUGAAAGCCCUGGGCUUAACCUAGGAAUAGCAUAUGAUACUGUUUGUCUGGAGUGGAGGAGAGGGCAGCGGAAUUUCCGGUGUAGCGGUGAAAUGCGUAGAUAUCGGAAAGAACACCAGUGGCGAAGGCGGCUGUCUGGACUCACACUGACACUGAGGCGCGAAAGCGUGGGGAGCGAACAGG
RNAcentral lists this ribosomal RNA (253 nucleotides) under uncultured bacterium. Its description in RNAcentral is "partial 16S ribosomal RNA". It matches the Rfam family "Bacterial small subunit ribosomal RNA", at positions 524 to 776 of the family's 1533-position model. The record is from RNAcentral.